GAGGAAAGCUAGCGGCAGGCCUAACACAUGCAAGUCGAGGGAGAAGCCCUUUCGGGGGCAGAAACCGGCGCACGGGUGCGUAACGCGUAUGCAACCUACCUUUCACAGGGGGAUAGCCCGAAGAAAUUUGGAUUAAUACCCCAUAAUAUUAUUGGAUGGCAUCAUUUGAUAAUUAAAACUGCGGUGGUGAAAGAUGGGCAUGCGUCCUAUUAGCUAGUUGGAGUGGUAACGGCACCCCAAGGCUACGAUAGGUAGGGGUCCUGAGAGGGAGAUCCCCCACACUGGUACUGAGACAGGGACCAGACUCCUACGGGAGGCAGCAGUGAGGAAUAUUGGUCAAUGGUCGGAAGACUGAACCAGCCAUGCCGCGUGCAGGAAGAAUGCCUUAUGGGUUGUAAACUGCUUUUAUAUGGGAAGAAUAAGGCGUACGUGUACGUUGAUGACGGUACCAUAUGAAUAAGCAUCGGCUAACUCCGUG
RNAcentral lists this ribosomal RNA (478 nucleotides) under uncultured bacterium. RNAcentral describes it as "partial 16S ribosomal RNA". It matches the Rfam family "Bacterial small subunit ribosomal RNA", at positions 28 to 507 of the family's 1533-position model. The record is from RNAcentral.